Molecule: long non-coding RNA, 337 nt
Organism: Stegodyphus dumicola
Lineage: Eukaryota; Metazoa; Arthropoda; Arachnida; Araneae; Eresidae
Source: RefSeq, a predicted model, not a curated record
CUGUUUGUUCGAUUGGCGUUUGUGACUGAAUCCAUCGAAGUUACUAAUUAUUUGAAGAAAUCUGGGGAGUCAGCACCCUGCUGAAUUGUAGUAAACGAAGACGUCCAAUCUACUAGACCAUCAAAGAUGCAGAUUUGGAUUUUCUAUUUCAUAGUUAUUGAAAUCAUAAUGAGAAUGAAGUACUGCCACUAAGGUAAAGCUUGCAAGGAGCUGUUCUCAAAACAUUGGGUGACAAAGAAUUCACUUUUACAAAAAUCGAGCAGGAUAUUAAAGACAGCGAACUAUAGAACAAAUAUGGCGAAGCUGCAAUGAAGUCUAUGUUGAAUUUUAUUAUUGA